UUUAUUUUUUCGUAUCCAACGUUUGACCAUUUGUUUUAUUUGAAUUUUUUCGAUUAAUAUUUUUAUUAUUACUAGAUGAUAAAAUAUGAAUAAUAUUUUAUACGUGACUAAUUUUUUUAAGUUUUUUAUUUUUUAAAUAAGACAAAUGGUCAAAUGUUAGACUCGGAAAAAC
RNAcentral lists this microRNA precursor (172 nucleotides) under Oryza brachyantha (malo sina). Its description in RNAcentral is "MIR812 microRNA precursor family". It matches the Rfam family "MIR812 microRNA precursor family", at positions 19 to 190 of the family's 205-position model. Lineage: Eukaryota; Viridiplantae; Streptophyta; Magnoliopsida; Poales; Poaceae. The record is from Rfam by way of RNAcentral.